UGGGAGGCCCUGCCACGCGGCGCCGCGGCCUCAGCGGCCUGCGUUGCCGGACGGCCCCCGCCGCCGCCGCCAGGCCCGGGGCGCUGGGCGCGGACGCGGGCGCCCAGACCCGACUCACCCGUUUUUUAGGUCUACUUCGAGGAGUCGGCCAUAGCCACUGAAAAAGCGCUGUAUGUCCUUCUCCCGGACGUUGUAGCUCAGGCGUCCUAUGUAGACGCGCGGCAUGUCCGUGGCGGGCGUGGUCCCGGAGGCUGGCUGUCGAACGGCUGGCCGCAAGGCGGUAGCCGCGGUGCGGGUGCGGGGACGGCGAAAGCCCGAACACGCGCCUCACACCGCAGCGGCGGCCGAGUCCAGCCACACAAUGGUGCGCGCGCGCGCCAGGGCUACGCUAUAUGGGCGGCCGGAGGGGGCGUGGCCCGGCGCGUGACGUCAGCGCGCAACACGCUGCCUUCCCGCUGCGAGCGCGGGGCUGGAGGGUGCCGGUGGACUCCGCAGCCCGUGAGAUUGCGCACACCUCAGUUUGGACCAGGGACAUUCUAAAUGUUCAAGUGCUGCCUGCAGCCAGUGGCUACUCUGCAGGAUGGUGUGGCCCUUACAGAAUCAGGUGUUGGCCAGUUUCCCCAAGUGCCGGCCUCUGCCCAUGACAGCUCUGGAACUGAAGAAGAAGCUGGGAAGGGAGAGGCUGACAAAGAUGACAGAGUGAUAAAGGGUUCUGGGAAAACGGGUAUCCAGGUGUCAGGGCCUCCGCUCACCUACAAGAUAGUUUUACUUAACUUUGAAAUGUGGACCCCUCUGGGUGGAUGGAUUAGAAGGCAUGCCUGUCCUGCCUGGAAAGCAAGAAUGGAUGGGGUUUCAGUUCCUUCUGGCACCUGGGCUGGGUACAUGAGCCGCACAGCCCCCCUGGCAGGCCCCACCAGGGGUGAUCCCCACCCUUGGGUGGUGCAAUUAGGGGCCCCUUUCCACUCUGGCAGGAAGGAGGGUGGGGAGUGAGGGUUUGGGCAGGAGCAGGACAGAGUGAGGUGGGGAGGGAAGUCGAGGGGCUCUGUGUGAGGGUGUUAUUUCCUCCGCGCGGAGAGAUGGGCAGGCAAGAAGGCGGGCCAUGGAAGAUCAGAGGGUCCUUGGGCAGUGUCAGACGUGGCGGGCUUUCCCGUGGCCCGG
This 1158-nucleotide long non-coding RNA is filed under the name Oryctolagus cuniculus (rabbit). Its description in RNAcentral is "lncRNA (ENSOCUG00000037263.1)". Lineage: Eukaryota; Metazoa; Chordata; Mammalia; Lagomorpha; Leporidae. The record is from RNAcentral.